This 886-nucleotide ribosomal RNA is filed under the name uncultured bacterium. Its description in RNAcentral is "bacterial SSU rRNA". It matches the Rfam family "Bacterial small subunit ribosomal RNA", at positions 547 to 1431 of the family's 1533-position model. The record is from RNAcentral.
GGAAUUANUGGGCGUAAAGAGCUCGUAGGUGGUUUGUUGCGUCGUCUGUGAAAUUCCGGGGNUUAACUUCGGGGUGGCAGGCGAUACGGGCAUAACUAGAGUGCUGUAGGGGAGACUGGAAUUCCUGGUGUAGCGGUGGAAUGCGCAGAUAUCAGGAGGAACACCGAUGGCGAAGGCAGGUCUCUGGGCAGUAACUGACGCUGAGGAGCGAAAGCAUGGGGAGCGAACAGGAUUAGAUACCCUGGUAGUCCAUGCUGUAAACGGUGGGCGUUAGGUGUGGGGACCGGUUUGGUUUCUGUGCCGUAGCUAACGCAUUAAGCGCCCCGCCUGGGGAGUACGGCCGCAAGGCUAAAACUCAAAGGAAUUGACGGGGGCCCGCACAAGCGGCGGAGCAUGUGGAUUAAUUCGAUGCAACGCGAAGAACCUUACCUGGGUUUGACAUGCACCAGACGGUUGUAGAGAUGCGUACCUCCCUUUGUGGUUGGUGUGCAGGUGGUGCAUGGUUGUCGUCAGCUCGUGUCGUGAGAUGUUGGGUUAAGUCCCGCAACGAGCGCAACCCUUGUCUUAUGUUGCCAGCACUUUGGGUGGGGACUCAUGAGAGACUGCCGGGGUUAACUCGGAGGAAGGUGGGGAUGACGUCAAAUCAUCAUGCCCUUUAUGCCCAGGGCUUCACACAUGCUACAAUGGUUAGUACAACGCGCUGCGAGCCUGUGAGGGUGAGCGAAUCGCUGAAAGCUAAUCUCAGUUCGGAUUGGGGUCUGCAACUCGACCCCAUGAAGUCGGAGUCGCUAGUAAUCGCAGAUCAGCAAUGCUGCGGUGAAUACGUUCCCGGGCCUUGUACACACCGCCCGUCACGUCAUGAAAGUUGGUAACACCCGAAGCCCAU